Molecule: ribosomal RNA, 289 nt
Filed under: uncultured Dialister sp.
Lineage: Bacteria; Bacillati; Bacillota; Negativicutes; Veillonellales; Veillonellaceae
Description: partial 16S ribosomal RNA
Rfam family: Bacterial small subunit ribosomal RNA
Source: RNAcentral
AGAAGGAAGCUUGCUUCUUUCAAAUCUAGUGGCAAACGGGUGAGUAACACGUAAACAACCUGCCUUCAGGAUGGGGACAACAGACGGAAACGACUGCUAAUACCGAAUACGUUCCUUAGGUCGCAUGAUCUUAGGAAGAAAGGGUGGCCUCUACCUGUAAGCUAUCGCCUGAAGAGGGGUUUGCGUCUGAUUAGGUAGUUGGUGAGGUAACGGCCCACCAAGCCGACGAUCGGUAGCCGACCUGAGAGGGUGAUCGGCCACAUUGGGACUGAGACACGGCCCAAACUCC